Dendronephthya gigantea is the source of this 682-nucleotide long non-coding RNA. RefSeq lists it as uncharacterized. The record is from RefSeq and is a predicted model, not a curated record. NCBI's taxonomy places the organism in Eukaryota, Metazoa, Cnidaria, Anthozoa, Malacalcyonacea, Nephtheidae. The transcript is spliced from 8 exons.
GAAAUCAACAAUCCAGCAACAACAAUAUCGGACGAAGGUUGCGAAAGCUUGGACACUCUCGAAAACGAGUUGAGGAUAAAGUUAGAAGCAUUUAAAAAUAGUCAAGUCAUGCAAUAUCGCGAAAAUACAACUGCACCUACCGAAAGUGAAGAGGAGCUCGACUUCAGUUUUACAGAGAAACUUACACCGAACACAAAGGCUAGAUAUAACAACCUGACUCCAAGAAAAAGGAAAACAUUUGCUUGGGCCAUUGAAGUCGCGCAAAAAAUAAUAAAGAGACCCAAAAUAGAUCACAAUGCAACAGACGUGAGUACUUCCCAAGACAAAAUUCCCGAUUCAACCCCAAUAGCAACUGGCGAUCAAAACGUGUGCGAUUAAGCAAAUGAAAUGCCUGCAAGAGGUAAACGAUAUACAAUGUGUCAUGUGUGGUUUGCAGGUGAAUCGCACGCCAGAAAGCGAUUAUUUGCAAAAGGUGCUAUUGGCGUUCUUCCUUGGAACAGGUUCAAACAACAGAUAUAAAGCCCAAGAUGAUAAGAAGCACACCCAAGAUUGGAGUUACCAGAAACACAUCAAAAGUCUUCACUUCAGUCUCACCAUGCACAAAUAUUAGAGCAUCUACGAAAUUUUGCGAAGGUGAAGUGUCAGAAGCGAUGGUUUGCAAAAGCGAUGGCGUGGUUUUUCU